ACUGACUUUUAGGCCGUCCUGUAUAUAUAUACAUAUAUACUGUAUUUGUAAAAUAAUAAGUUAUGCUUCUGCAAACGAAUUGGAAUAUUUAGAAGUUUCUUAUUUAUACAUAUAUAUGUAAUUCUUUUUUCUAGAUGAUGAACUAACGGCAGCAGGAGGACCAGGCCCAAUGGAUGUGCUGCAAACGAGCUGUGCCAUCCCAAUCUCUCCUCGAAAUACACCCGUUUGGACAGCAACUUGGGACACAACCAGUAGACACGCAGCCUCGCAUCAUUAAAACCCUUGGAAACGUGGCCGAGGACUCGUCUCUGAAAUCAUCUAAAGCCAAAAACACAAGUUACUAAUUCAGAUGUGAUCUGUAUCGCCGAACUAACUUAUUUAUUACUGUCUUCUGAUCCGAAAACAAAACGGUGAUACCAACGUGUCGACUCUGCUGCACGAUGGCCACGGUGUGAUAUAGACUCCUAUCGGUUGUCCAUUUUAUUGUUAUAUCUGCAUGUGGAUAUAUUCAACGUUCAUAAAAAGUAAUCACAACUUCAAAUCACCGGGUUUUACCAUACAAAACUGGAGAUACCACGUGAAAGAAUCGAGAAGAUGGACGAGGUCGCUUGCUCAAUAUGCCGAAAUAUUUUGGAGCGUUCUGCUCACGUCUCAAUAAUAGUAAUACUUUAUGUGGUGGCUUGCUUUUUAUUGGUGCUCCGUGUGUUGUCUCUUCUUUUUUCGGAAAUAGUUGGAACGUAUAUAUAUAUAUAUAUAUACCCAAAGAAGGUGUGUGUGGCAGAGAAUAACGAGUGAACUGUAGAUAAACAGGAGCCCAAGGCUCCGAUGAUGGAAGAGACGGUUUUCAAAUAAGACAGAAAACUGUUUUCAAGGCAUUGUUUAAAACAUAUGCUUUUUGUAUUUGUACACAAAAUUGUGGUUCUCAACUCGGACAGAUCACUUAAUGAUUCACAAAUGACAGUGCCAUGGCUGUAAGUCAAAUCGAUUUUUAAAAAACCCUCGAGGUUGUCAGUAGUAAUGUAUUGGUAAUUUGUGAUGUACAGAAACUUACUUGUGUGUAAACGUGUUUAUGUACUCGUAUCAGAUUUUCAGGCUGUUAAAUGCCAAAAACUCCAAAGAGAUUAGUAUCCCCAAGUGUAGUUCCUAUGAUUUCUUGUACAGUACGUUUGGCAGCAUGUGUCGAUUGAUAGAAGGAAAACCAGUGGGAUCUCAGACUAUGUAGAAGCUACCAACUGUGAUGACGAGACAAAUCAUGGUGCUGGUAUCUGUUUUCGCUAAGUAUUUACGUGUCUCAUAAUUCAUGUGAUAUGCCAAGCAUUCAUCUAGAACAGCAGUUGAUUUCAAAGAACAGUUUCUCACUUUCCAAAAAAUGAUCUGGCCAUUAGAAAUACAAACAUACAAUGUAUUCACUUUUACAGUGUUUUUGAAAGCUUAUUUGCAGAGGAAUCUUUAACGGAACAUUUUACAUCUUCUAUAGAACAUGAUUUGACUAUUUAGUUUCUAAAGCCAUACCGUUAGAUGAAAUUUUCAUAGUUUUUCAUCCAUGUAUUUGCACGUAUGGUAAUCGUGAGUUGUGAAUCUAUUUUUUGAAUUUUCACUUGCACAUUUGUAGCUGUGAUCUAAUAAAACACCAUUCCAAUUUAA
This 1644-nucleotide long non-coding RNA is filed under the name Centruroides sculpturatus (bark scorpion). RNAcentral's name for it is "uncharacterized LOC111626584". Lineage: Eukaryota; Metazoa; Arthropoda; Arachnida; Scorpiones; Buthidae. The record is from RNAcentral.